Molecule: ribosomal RNA, 602 nt
Filed under: Neocylloepus sp. FC_E01
Lineage: Eukaryota; Metazoa; Arthropoda; Insecta; Coleoptera; Elmidae
Description: SSU rRNA
Rfam family: Eukaryotic small subunit ribosomal RNA
Source: RNAcentral
AGUCAUAUGCUUGUCUCAAAGAUUAAGCCAUGCAUGUCUCAGUACAAGCCUAAUUAAGGUGAAACCGCGAAAGGCUCAUUAAAUCAGUUAUGGUUCCUUAGAUCGUACCCACAUUUACUUGGAUAACUGUGGUAAUUCUAGAGCUAAUACAUGCAAACAGAGCUCCGACCGGAGACGGAAGGAGCGCUUUUAUUAGAUCAAAACCAAUCGGCGGCGGGUUCGCUCGUUCGUCGUACACCUUGGUGAAUCUGAAUAACUUUCUGCUGAUCGCAUGGUCUCGCACCGGCGACGCAUCUUUCAAAUGUCUGCCUUAUCAACUGUCGAUGGUAGGUUCUGCGCCUACCAUGGUUGUAACGGGUAACGGGGAAUCAGGGUUCGAUUCCGGAGAGGGAGCCUGAGAAACGGCUACCACAUCCAAGGAAGGCAGCAGGCGCGCAAAUUACCCACUCCCGGCACGGGGAGGUAGUGACGAAAAAUAACGAUACGGGACUCAUCCGAGGCCCCGUAAUCGGAAUGAGUACACUCUAAACCCUUUAACGAGGAUCAAUUGGAGGGCAAGUCUGGUGCCAGCAGCCGCGGUAAUUCCAGCUCCAAUAGCGUAU